This 253-nucleotide ribosomal RNA is filed under the name uncultured bacterium. Its description in RNAcentral is "partial 16S ribosomal RNA". It matches the Rfam family "Bacterial small subunit ribosomal RNA", at positions 524 to 776 of the family's 1533-position model. The record is from RNAcentral.
UACGUAGGGACCAAGCGUUGUUCGGAUUUACUGGGCGUAAAGGGCGCGUAGGCGGCGUGUUAAGUCAGCUGUGAAAUCUCCAAGCUUAACUUGGAACGGUCAGCUGAUACUGAUGUGCUAGAGUGCAGAAGGGGCAAUCGGAAUUCUUGGUGUAGCGGUGAAAUGCGUAGAUAUCGUAAGGAAGACCAGUGGCGAAGGCGGGUCUCUGGACAGUUCCUGACGCUGAGGCACGAAGGCCAGGGGAGCAAACGGG